GUGGGGAAUCUUGCCCAAUGGGCGCAAGCCUGAGGCAGCAACGCCGCGUGCGGGAAGAAGGCCCUAGGGUUGUAAACCGCUUUCGCCAGGGACGAAAAUGACGGUACCUGGAGAAGAAGGUGCGGCCAACUACGUGCCAGCAGCCGCGGUGACACGUAGGCACCAAGCGUUGUCCGGAUUUAUUGGGCGUAAAGAGCUCGUAGGCGGUUCGGUUAGUCGGGUGUGAAAUCCUUGGGCUUAACCCAAGAACUGCACCCGAUACUGCUGUGACUCGAGUCCGGUAGAGGAGUGUGGAAUUCCUGGUGUAGCGGUGGAAUGCGCAGAUAUCAGGAGGAACACCAACGGCGAAGGCAGCACUCUGGGCCGGUACUGACGCUGAGGAGCGAAAGCGUGGGGAGCGAACAGGAUUAGAUACCCGAGUAGUCC
RNAcentral lists this ribosomal RNA (426 nucleotides) under uncultured bacterium. RNAcentral's name for it is "bacterial SSU rRNA". It matches the Rfam family "Bacterial small subunit ribosomal RNA", at positions 354 to 796 of the family's 1533-position model. The record is from RNAcentral.